AGUGAACGCUGGCGGUAGGCCUAACACAUGCAAGUCGAACGGCAGCACAGUAAGAGCUUGCUCUUACGGGUGGCGAGUGGCGGACGGGUGAGGAAUACAUCUGAAUCUACUUUUUCGUGGGGGAUAACGUAGGGAAACUUACGCUAAUACCGCAUACGACCUACGGGUGAAAGCAGGGGAUCUUCGGACCUUGCGCGAUUGAAUGAGCCGGUGUCGGAUUAGCUAGUUGGCGGGGUCAAGGCCCACCAAGGCAACGAUCCGUAACUGGGCUGAUUGUAUGGACAGCCACACUGGCACUGUGACACGGUCCAGACUCCUACGGGAGGCAGCAGUGGGGAAUCUUCGACAAUGUGAGCAAGCCUGAUCCAACCAUACCGCGUAGGUGAAGAAGGCCUUCGGGUUGUAAAGCCCUUUUGUUGGGAAAGAAAAGCAGCAGGUUAAUACCCCGCUGUUCUGACGGUACCCUAAGAAUAAGCACCGGCUAACUUCGUG
RNAcentral lists this ribosomal RNA (492 nucleotides) under uncultured bacterium. RNAcentral's name for it is "partial 16S ribosomal RNA". It matches the Rfam family "Bacterial small subunit ribosomal RNA", at positions 29 to 507 of the family's 1533-position model. The record is from RNAcentral.